CAAAAUCCAAAUCCAAAUCCCAAUCCCUCUAAUCUCACCCCUCCUUUAACUUUUUGAAAUUUUGCCUUUUUUCCUCAACAUUAUCGAAUCAAAAUCAAUAUUUAGCAAAAAAUACAAAAUGAAUAAAACCAAAGAAAAGUACGAAACGGAAUUUUUCACAAAUCUGUGGCUGAGCCGUCACCUCACCGCAACUCAAGUCGGCAAUUACAACUACGCGCUCCCCUCGUCAUCUCCAUUCUCCAUUUUCAAUAACAAAACCAACCCAC
Molecule: long non-coding RNA, 266 nt
Filed under: Arachis ipaensis
Lineage: Eukaryota; Viridiplantae; Streptophyta; Magnoliopsida; Fabales; Fabaceae
Description: long non-coding RNA (AIPA_LNC002365)
Source: RNAcentral